RNAcentral lists this ribosomal RNA (497 nucleotides) under uncultured bacterium. RNAcentral describes it as "partial 16S ribosomal RNA". It matches the Rfam family "Bacterial small subunit ribosomal RNA", at positions 28 to 507 of the family's 1533-position model. The record is from RNAcentral.
GAUGAACGCUGGCGGCGUGCCUAAUACAUGCAAGUCGAGCGAACAGAUGAGGAGCUUGCUCCUCUGACGUUAGCGGCGGACGGGUGAGUAACACGUGGAUAACCUACCUAUAAGACUUGGAUAACUUCGUGAAACCACAGCUACUACCGGCUAAUAUAUUGAACCGCAUGGUUCAAUGGUGCAACCGGUUUUGCCCGUUUUUAUUAGAUGAUUCCGGGCCGCAUUAGCUAGUUGGUAAGGUAACGGCUUACCAAGGAUACGAUGCGUAGCCGGCCUGAGAGGGUGAUCAGCCACACUGGAACUGAGACACGGUCCAGACUCCUACGGGAGGCAGCAGUAGGGAAUCUUCCGCAAUGGGCGAAAGCCUGACGGAGCCACGCCGCGUGAGUGAUGAAGGUCUUCGGAUCGUAAAACUCUGUUAUUAGGGAAGAAAAAAUGUGUAAGUAACUAUGCACGUCUUGACGGUACCCAAGCAGAAAGCCACGGCUAACUACGUG